CAAAAAGACGGUCUCAGUUCGGAUUGAAGGCUGAAAUUCGCCUACAUGAAGUUGGAAUUGCUAGUAAUGGCAGGUCAGCAUACUGCCGUGAAUACGUUCCCGGGCCUUGUACACACCGCCCGUCACACCAUGAGAGUUGGAGAUACCCGAAGCCUGUGAGCUAACUUUUAGAGGCAGCAGUCGAAGGUAGAAUCAAUGAUUGGGGUGAAGUCGUAACAAGGUAGC
RNAcentral lists this ribosomal RNA (225 nucleotides) under uncultured bacterium. RNAcentral describes it as "partial 16S ribosomal RNA". It matches the Rfam family "Bacterial small subunit ribosomal RNA", at positions 1275 to 1500 of the family's 1533-position model. The record is from RNAcentral.